Molecule: long non-coding RNA, 227 nt
Filed under: Capsella rubella
Lineage: Eukaryota; Viridiplantae; Streptophyta; Magnoliopsida; Brassicales; Brassicaceae
Description: long non-coding RNA (CRUB_LNC002680)
Source: RNAcentral
AAAAAUCAAUAUAAAUUAAAAUUCUAUCGUAUGAAAUAAACUGUCGGCUCAAUCCCUAUAAUAGUUAAAAAUGAUGAAAAAAUUGAAAAGAAAAAGAAUGAUAACGUAUCCAUAUAAAUAGAAAACAUGAACAAAUGACCCAUUUCAUAUAAGACAAUGACACUUUUUUUUUGCGGCCAAUAAAAAAAUGACAUUAUCUUUGUUAUUAUACAUUUAUACAUUUGAAC